Long non-coding RNA from Tachyglossus aculeatus (Australian echidna), 441 nucleotides. RefSeq lists it as uncharacterized. NCBI's taxonomy places the organism in Eukaryota, Metazoa, Chordata, Mammalia, Monotremata, Tachyglossidae. The record is from RefSeq and is a predicted model, not a curated record. The transcript is spliced from 3 exons.
AGACGAGCAUGAAAGUAGGUCACUGAGCCCAAAUUUGGCUUGUUAGGCAGGGGACCAAAGUCCAGCUCCUCUACUAACUUUUCUAGAACUGCUGGAUUCAGAGCAAAGUAGAGGUUAAGGAGAAUCCUGUACAAGAGGGAUAGGCACCACGCCGCUGAAGUUAAAAACUACUUUAUCACUCUUGCAAUUCGCAAAGUUAUAAACUGGGAGGAAGGCAGGUCUGGAAAGAAGUUGCUGAAUGCGACCAGAGACACACCCAAAUGGAAGCUGAGUCCAAUACCUCUUAAGAAAAGAUUUCCUGGGGCAAUCUGAUCCAAGCCAGCUCAGACUUGAAUCUUCAUGCCCCAAAACCAGGGUGGGGAGAAUGCAGAACUAAGGGGACGAAUGAAACCUGAAUGAGUCAAAAGCAGAGCCUCUCGGGACCAAACAGGAGAAAAUGUG